Long non-coding RNA from Solanum dulcamara, 3681 nucleotides. RefSeq lists it as uncharacterized. The transcript is spliced from 2 exons. The record is from RefSeq and is a predicted model, not a curated record. Lineage: Eukaryota; Viridiplantae; Streptophyta; Magnoliopsida; Solanales; Solanaceae.
CUUGUUUCCAACUUUUACUAUUUUCGUUUCCUAGUGUGAAAAGCAUAGUAAAUAUCCUCCAUUCAUGCUGCAAUCCAUGUGUUUAUUUAGAUUGAUUGUGUAUUUCAAUGAUCUUUAAAGCAAUACAAAAGAAAUAUUAGACUUAAAAGGAGUAAUAAUAGAUAGACGCCUGAAGUUGGCACCACGGUCAGAUAGAUACCUUAAAUGUGCCAGUGAUCAUUAGACACCUUUUCUUGGCAGAAAUCUGUAUCAUGAACACCUGUGUUUGUGAGAUCACCUGCUUGGGACUCACUCUUUGCUGACGUAUCAGAUGGUUAAAUGAAAUGAUGACGUGUAAAUUUUAUUAUAAAAUAGAAAUAUAAUAACUUAUAAAAAAACAAAAACCAGCUAUAAAUAAUAUAAAAAAAACAUACCCCCUCCCUCUACUCAAUUCCUUCGUCAAAAUGUUUCAGAACUGAACCUCCCCCUCCCCUUUUUCUUCAACCACUUGUCCCCCUUCCCCUCUCCCUCUUUUUCUUCAAAACCCUUCCCCUUCCUCCUCUUAUUCUUCCCCAUCCUUUCUCCUCCCCACCUGCCACCUUUCCCCUUCCCCCUCCUAAAGAAAAUCUCUCAGAACUGUUGGGAUCGGAAUCCAUCUCUCAGAAUUCUGAAUUUUUUUUUAUUUGAAUGAUAGAAUUAUCAAAUCUCCUCAGAGUUAAUUGAGCGUUCAGUUUUUCUUCCUGAAUUUUGAUAUGGGAAACAUUAUGCACUUUUAAAAUAAGUUAUAGAGGUUAAGUUGUACUUUAUGUGAAAUUAGUUGGCUUUUGAGUCAUUAGGAUUGAAGUCCGUCCUGUGCUUUCUACUGCUUCAGUAUUUUGCAAUGUCAGGGAAAUUUACUCCAAUUAUUCAAGAUGUGUCGUAUCAUUUUGUAUUUUUCAGUUGGUUGUGGUGGAAAAAAUUAAACGAGUGAGAAUAAGGUGGGGAUACUUCCACAAUGUCUUGCCUCUUUUCUGAUACCCUGAAACCUUAUUGAUUUAAACUAUUCUUCUUUCAAGAUUUGUGUCUGUGGUUGCAAUAACAUUGCUAUCCUGUCCCCUUACCCCCUUCGGCCAAAAAAAAUAAAAUAGAAAACCCAAAAACAAUAGCCAUCCUCUAAUAUUGACCAAAUUGGAUCAUGAGCACCUAUGAAUCAAAGGGAAUGUUGAUUAUGGAGACUCCUCUUAUCCCCUUAUUUAUUAUGAUUAUGGAAAUUUUAUUUCUUGAUGCUCAAAAGAGCUAAAAGAUUGGUGUGGCCUAGUAGUCAAUGAAGUGGGUCGAGAAACAUGAGGUCUCAUGUUCGAAUCUUAGCAGAGACAAAAGCAUUAGGUGAUUUCUUCAAAUUUGUCCUAGCCUCAGUAAACAGAGUUAUCUGAUACCUGUUGAUGGUGGGAGGUGACAAAUUUCCCAUGGAAUUAGUUGAGGUGCGCUCAAGCUGAUCCGGACACCUCGGUUAUCACAAAAGAAUUGCUGAUGAGAGGUGACAAUUAUUUCAUGAAAUUAGUCGAGGUGCGCGCAAGCUGACCUGGACACCACCGUUAUCAAAAAUAAAAAAGAGAGCAGAAAGAUUGGGGUGGAUCGCUGGCUUUUAAGGUAGAAGGAAAUGGUGACAAAAAGGUGUCCGUCUCUCAUAUUUUGCAUGCUGAUGAAACACCGUUAUUGUGUACGGCAAAGAAGGAACAAUUUCCUCUUGUCAGAGGGAUUUUGUUAACCAUUAAAGCUGUCACAGGUUUGAUAGCUUACCUCGCUAAGAGCCACCUGUUUAGUGUUGAAGUUGAUAGUAACAUUGAAGAGUUGGCUGGAAUUAUGGGAUGUAAGGUUGAGAAAUUCCUUCUUGUACAUUUGGAACUACCUUCUUGAACUAUUGUAGAAGAUGUGUUUUGUUCCAAGUGGAUAAGGUGGAUCAAGCAUUGAAUCAACACAGUCAAAUUCUCAGUAUUGGUCAACACAGCCUACUGGUUUCUUCUCCUCGUGCAGAGGCUUGAGACAAGGAUAUCCUUUCCUCUUCAUCCUAGCUAUGGAAGGCAUGAGCAAUAUGAUAUAGACUGCAAAAGUAAAUGGAUGGGUAAAAGGUUCCCAAGCAAAUCCCAGGACAAUGAAUGACUUAGAAAUCAUCCACCUGCAGUAUGCUGAUGACUCCCUGAUUUUCUGUGAGGCUUCCAAAGAACAAAUUCUAUUAUUGAGAGUGAUUUUCAUCCUUUUUGAAUCCACAUAGAUUUGCACAUUAAUUGGAAAAAGAGUUGCAUUUAUCGUAUCAAUGCAGUGACUGAUAUUCAAUCCUUGGCUGAUAUUUUAGGAGGAGAGAUAGGAGCUCUUCCUACUAAAUACCUAGGUAUGUCUCUGGGUGCAAAGAGCAAAUCCAAUGGGAUUAAAAAAAAAAGUGAAAGAAGACUAACCAACUGGAAAAGUCAAUACAUUUCUAUGGGUGGGAAAUUGACUUUGAUCAACAGCAUGCUUGAUGCUUUAUCCACAUAUAUGAUGCUUAUCUUUCCUGCCCCUGUUAAUGUGAUAGAAAAGAUAGAUGACUUAAGGAGGAAUUUCUUCUGGCAAGACAAUGAUGACAAGAAGAAAAUCCACCUUGGUAACGUUUCGAGGGAGAACAAUAGAAGUCUGAUGAUGAAGUGGUUGUACCGAUUUAACCCAGAUGACAACCAGCUUUGGAAACAAGUUAUUAAAGCUAAAUAUGGAGAGGAGGGGUAAUGGACAACAAAGGAAGUGACUACUCCCUAUGGAUGCAAAAUCUGGAGAUCUGUCAGAAACCUUUGGCCAAUUUUCCAACAAAGAAGAGGCUUCAAAAUUGGGAAAGGAAUGAAAAUGACAUCUGGAUUGGAGAAAACACACCCAAACAUCUCUUUCCAUAAUUAUACAGCAUAUGCCAACAACAAGAAGCAUCAGUCGCUGACAUGUGGACAGGGCAAGUAUGGAAUCUCAGUUUUAGAAGAUUUUUGCAUGAUUGGGAGAUGGAAAAGAUAGUAGAUUUCCUUCACAUUCUAUCUCAGUUCAAUGGUUUUUCAGAAGAGGCGGAUAGCUUGAUUUGCCAAUGUCACAGCAAAAGGGAAGUUUUCUGUAAAGUCUGUUUGCAGAGAUUUCACUGCCUCCAACAAUCAAGUGGGUUGUUGGCCAUGGAAGAUGAUCUGGAAAGUGAAAAUUCCUUACAAGGUAGCUUGUUUCACAUGGCUGUUGACCAAAGAAAAGGUUCUGACUCAUGAAUAUAUGAGCAAGAGAGAAAUGCAACUAUGCACCAUAUGCUAUCUUUGUAAUGAACAGAAAAUCAAUUUUUAAAUUACGUUAUGGAGGGCCAAAAUUGGGUGUCAACAAUAUCAACUAUGGAAGAUUUCAUCAACUUGAGGAAAAUUAAGUGGGUGAUGCCAAGAAGAAUAAAGGAACUGCUAAACUGUUGGAACAGUGAUGGCAAUGCAGCUUAAAGGAAGGAGAGAUAGAAAUUGUCCCGGCAUAUAUUUGGUGAUCAGUUUGGAAAAGAGAAAUCAAAAGAUGUUUUGAGGGCAAUUAUUGCAACAUCCAAAAGUUCAAGAUGAAUUGCCUAGCCCUCUAUUAUUUUUGGUGUAAAUAGGAAUUGUUAGUACAAACUGAAGAUAUUUUUGAUGUUCACAGUUUGUAAGGGGCCAUUUGGUAGAGUGUAUAAUGCAAAAUAUAGUGUAUUAGUAA